Molecule: ribosomal RNA, 253 nt
Filed under: uncultured bacterium
Lineage: Bacteria
Description: partial 16S ribosomal RNA
Rfam family: Bacterial small subunit ribosomal RNA
Source: RNAcentral
UACGUAGGGUGCAAGCGUUAAUCGGAAUUACUGGGCGUAAAGCGUGCGCAGGCGGUUGUGCAGGACAGAUGUGAAAUCCCCGGGCUCAACCUGGGAACUGCAUUUGUGACUGCACAGCUAGAGUACGGUAGAGGGGGAUGGAAUUCCGCGUGUAGCAGUGAGAUGCGUAGAUAUGCGGAGGAACACCGAUGGCGAAGGCAAUCCCCUGGACCUGUACUGACGCUCAUGCACGAAAGCGUGGGGAGCAAACAGG